UUUUCCGGUUGAUCCCGCCGGACCCCACUGCUAUCGGGGUGGGACUAAGGCAUGCAAGUUGUGUGUCUUUAUGCUAUGGAAAAGACACGGCAUACAGCUCAGUAACACGUAGUUAACCUGCCCUAAGGACGGACAUAAUCCCGGGAAACUGGGGCUAAUAUCCGAUAGGUGAAGUAACCUGGAAUGGUUUUUCACUUAAAAGAUGGAAAAGCCAUGCUUUUUCUAUUGCCUUAGGAUGGGACUGCGACUGAUCAGGUAGUUGGCGAGGUAACGGCUCACCAAGCCUAUAACCAGUACGGGCCGUGAGAGCGGAAGCCCGGAGAUGGGUACUGAGACAAUGACCCAGGCCUUACGGGGCGCAGCAGCCGCGAAAACUCCGCAAUGCGCGAAAGCGUGACGGGGCUACCCCGAGUGCCAUCCGCUGAGGAUAGCUUUUCUCUAGUGUAACUAGCUAAAGGAAUAAGGGGAGGGCAAGUCUGGUGUCAGCCGCCGCGGUAAUACCAGCUCCCCGAGUGGUGGGGACUAUUAUUGGGCCUAAAGCGUCCGUAGCCUGCUUGACAAGUCUUCCGUUAAAUCCACCGAUCCAAUCGUUGGGCCGCGGGAGAUACUGUUAGGCUAGGGGGCGGGAGAGGCUGAUGGUAUUCUUAGGGUAGGGGUGAAAUCCUAUAAUCCUAAGAGGACCACCAGUGGCGAAGGCGGUCAGCUAGAACGCGCUCGACGGUGAGGGACGAAAGCUGGGGGAGCGAUCCGGAUUAGAUACCCGGGUAGUCCCAGCUGUAAACGAUGCAGGCUAGGUGUUGGCCUAACCAUGUGUUACGCCAGUGCCGCAGGGAAGCUGUUAAGCCUGCCGCCUGGGGAGUACGGUCGCAAGACUGAAACUUAAAGGAAUUGGCGGGGGAGCACCACAAGGGGUGAAGCUUGCGGUUCAAUUGGAGUCAACGCCGGGAAUCACUAGU
This 956-nucleotide ribosomal RNA is filed under the name uncultured archaeon. RNAcentral describes it as "bacterial SSU rRNA". It matches the Rfam family "Archaeal small subunit ribosomal RNA", at positions 1 to 934 of the family's 1478-position model. The record is from RNAcentral.